GCAACCUUUUAUCAACAAGACAACAACCCUAUCAAAAACCUUAUCAAAAGUUCAAACUCUUGAAGAAUAAAAUCAAAGAUCCGUACCUGGUCGGCUAGUCUGCAGGUUGAAUGGAUGAUCGAUCGAAGCCUGUCUGCAGGGGAGGGCGGUAGAGAUGAAAGGGCGAUUGGCUUUAUUUGGGUAAAUGGGUUAUGUUUUGUUAAUUGAUUUAGUUAUUUGGGUUGGGUUUUACCAUAAACUUAUUCAAUUGGGCUUGAUGUUGGGUUAUAGGAAUACAAGUUUUAUUGUGGGCUAACUUGUUUACAAUUUUUUUUUAUAUAAAUUCUAACAUUUUUUUCUAAGGGGUGCGGUCAGAAUUUUUCAAGGGGUGCGGUCAAAAUUUUUCAAGGGGUGCGGUCGGGAUUUUUCGCGAAAAAUAACACUAAAUUUUUUUUUUCAAGGGGUGCGGCCGCCCGCUGUAACACCCCGUGUUUUCGAAUGUCAAAGUCAAAGUCAAAGUCCAAGUCAACUUUGACUUUCCUUGACUGUAGAUAGUCGAUUUUGUGUUUUAGUUGUAUUAUGUGGAGUAAGUGUUGUAAUCAGCAAGAAUCGAAGUAAUUGAACGUGUCU
This 609-nucleotide long non-coding RNA is filed under the name Helianthus annuus (common sunflower). RNAcentral describes it as "hypothetical non coding rna". The record is from RNAcentral. Lineage: Eukaryota; Viridiplantae; Streptophyta; Magnoliopsida; Asterales; Asteraceae.